AUUGAACGCUGGCGGCAGGCCUAACACAUGCAAGUCGAACGAGUGGCGGACGGGUGAGUAAUGUAUGGGAAACUGCCCGAUGGAGGGGGAUAACUACUGGAAACGGUAGCUAAUACCGCAUACCAUCGGAUGUGCCCAGAUGGGAUUAGCGAGUAGGUGGGGUAACGGCUCACCUAGGCGACGAUCCCUAGCUGGUCUGAGAGGAUGACCAGCCACACUGGAACUGAGACACGGUCCAGACUCCUACGGGAGGCAGCAGUGGGGAAUAUUGCACAAUGGGCGCAAGCCUGAUGCAGCCAUGCCGCGUGUGUGAAGAAGGCCUUCGGGUUGUAAAGUACUUUCAUCGAGGAGGCGUUACUCGCAGAAGAAGCACCGGCUAACUCCGUGCCAGCAGCCGCGGUAAUAC
RNAcentral lists this ribosomal RNA (406 nucleotides) under uncultured bacterium. RNAcentral's name for it is "partial 16S ribosomal RNA". It matches the Rfam family "Bacterial small subunit ribosomal RNA", at positions 30 to 526 of the family's 1533-position model. The record is from RNAcentral.